AAUAAACCAACUUUUCAUUUUUUAUCUAUAAUUUUUGACUCUUCGUCUUAUUCGAUUUUUUUUACGAUUGAUAUUUUUAUUUUUAUUAGAUAAUAAAUCAUGAAUAGUACUGUACGUGUGAUUAUUUUUUUUUAAUUUCCUAAAAAUUUUUCAAAUAAGACGAAUGAUCAAACGUUGGACACAAGAAUCGAAG
RNAcentral lists this microRNA precursor (193 nucleotides) under Oryza brachyantha (malo sina). RNAcentral describes it as "MIR812 microRNA precursor family". It matches the Rfam family "MIR812 microRNA precursor family". Lineage: Eukaryota; Viridiplantae; Streptophyta; Magnoliopsida; Poales; Poaceae. The record is from Rfam by way of RNAcentral.